CUCUCUCAAUGCCCCCCACACACACACUAUUGUAAAUCCUAAGAGACUGCAGGAUUCUUCUUCCUCUUUUCCCCAUCCCUUCCAGAGGCUUGGCUGGUUCUCUCUAUUAGUGCAACCUCCUUGGCUGGACGGGGAUGGCCCCCACUCUUUGUCCCCUUGUUAGAACAAACCUUUAGAGAGAGCUCUUCUACCCUUACAAGCGGCCCCUCAUGACGUAAUGUUUGUGGAGAUCAUCAGCUCGUUCAUACACAGCUCGUUUAGUGCACAUAGACAGUGAUGUCACAGUGUCACUGAGUAGUCAAAGUUGGGGAUCACAUUUCGAGAAGGAAGAGUGAAGAAGAGAAGGAUGAGGAGGAAGAGGAGGGGAAAGAAGAGGGUGAAAGAACUAGAUUGAAACAUUUCUCUGUUUUUAAAUAAAUAGAGAACUCUCACUCUCCUCCUCCUCCUGUUCUGAUUGGAAGUG
Oncorhynchus tshawytscha (Chinook salmon) is the source of this 463-nucleotide long non-coding RNA. The record is from Ensembl. NCBI's taxonomy places the organism in Eukaryota, Metazoa, Chordata, Actinopteri, Salmoniformes, Salmonidae.